Lycium barbarum (goji berry) is the source of this 2246-nucleotide long non-coding RNA. RefSeq lists it as uncharacterized. The transcript has 7 exons. The record is from RefSeq and is a predicted model, not a curated record. NCBI's taxonomy places the organism in Eukaryota, Viridiplantae, Streptophyta, Magnoliopsida, Solanales, Solanaceae.
UUCUUUAUGGCUAAAUGUAAGCAUAUGUUUCAGCCCUGAUAAAACAAACACGCGUCCCACUAAAACUCCCACUCUUCUACACACUUCAUUUCAAUGAUUUCUCUCUCUGAUUCAUCUUCCUCUUCGGGCUCCUAUACGUGAUAGACAACAGAUUUGAAGUGGUGAGAAAUUUGCACCGAUUCUUCAAGAUUUCAGAUUUUGAGGGAAUUCGUUAACUAAUCAAUUGAUAUAAUCCAGAAACACAGCCAGAUGUUGUUGCCUCAAUCAGCACUCAUGAUCAAGAAUUCAGGUAAAUUCACUCUGCGAAAACUCCUUCAAAAAUCUACGCCAAAUGAUGAAGAAAGUGAUUUUGCCAUUUCAAGAUUGCAAGAGAUUGUGAUUCUCAAUCAGUUUCUGAAAAGAAUCCUGCUUUUAUGUGUUGGGUCUUGUCUAUCCUUGUUGUUUUAUCAUGACUUCUUUGCUCUUGUUAUUUCUCAUUUUCGUAUUGCUUUGAUUUGCGUGUCCGUAUCUGACUCUUUUCUCUUGUUUUCUUUUGAGCCGAGGGUCUUUCGGAAACAGCCUCCCCACCUUCCGAGGUUAGGAUAAGGUCUUGCAAAGCUUAUGUUACAAGGGGAGCAAUGAAAAAGACCAAUAAAUCACUAACCCUGCUCUCACUUCUCUCUCAUUUUCUAGGUUUACACUGAGGUUUAUUCUAAGGUUUUUAAUGCUUGAUUCUUCUUCCUUUGAAAUGGCACUGGCAAAGAAGAAGGUCUGCUAAGAAUUUCUAAUCAAUUGCCUCCAAAGCUCAAUGAGGGCGGAUUGUGUGAUUUGGCAAGGUUCAAGAUGAUGAAGAGCCACGAGGUACAAGAUAGAUUGGAAUAUUCUUAAUGGAACAUCCAACUCAGGCAUUUCAUACAAGUGGUGCUAAGUCCUUUGGAAAGGUAUGCUCGCAGUAUCUCCUGGGCUUGCCCCUCCUCUGAAUACAAACACACAUAAACACCAUACUUGAUGUGUAAAAUAAUGCAUUCUCCUGUGUUCCUCUCCACAUUCCUACACACAUGAAUAAUUUUGUGUGCACGUGCAUAGGUUUUUUUUUCCCCUAGAAAAUUUCAAGAUUUCCAACUGCAAUAGUGUAAUUGUAUUCUUCUAAACAGCGUUCUAUGUGUUUGCGAUAUCAUCGGUCAUGCACGAAGACAGAUCUUAUUUUUUAAGUGCUCAAAAAUAUAUCAAAGGCGAUUUUCUAACUGAACUCUAUAACAGUUAUAGCAAUUAUACUUCAUCUAGAGUAUUUAUAUGAAAUCUUAUGGCUGGACAUGUUGCUUAUGUUCUCGGAGAAUACUCAAGGAACUAUUGUCAAAAUUAUUUAUCAAAAUUAUAUAGUUAGUAGCUACUGAAGUACAUGGACUCAACAUACUUAGGAAAGGUAGAAUAUAAAGAGUUAUGCCAGAGUCUAUUUGAGCUAAAGAAUCCACCGCCGACACACUCUGGUUAUUCUUCCAUUAUAUUUGGCACAAUAGUCUUUGGUGCUAUGUUGAGUUGCCCGGGAGCCAAAACUUCUUUAGGAUUAAUAAAAUAUUAUAUUAGAGGAAACAUUUAUUCCUCUAUUUUGUUGGAGCGCUUCCAUCUUUAGCUUCUUUGGCUUUAAUAACUUUUAGAUGACCAACUUUUCUGAAAGGUGAACAAAAUGGGGGCUCUCAUAUAGGAUGUCUCAUUAAAUUGGAAAGCUCAAUAGAGAUGCUUAAGAUAAUCAACAUAUCAACGGGAAGCACUUUGGUUGGUCUGUUGUAGCAAAUAUGCUAAUGUCAUUAUGUGUGAUAACUCUUGAAGCGCUUUCGCAGAAUCUAUAUCCUGAACUUCGACGUAUCUUCUAAACUGUCAAGUUGCCUUCGCACAAUUGACGGAUCCUUGGAAUUGCCUCUCUUUUAUAUCCAUUCUAGGACAAUUGACUCACUUUGUUAUUUUUGUAUUAGGUGAUUUUUAGGGGUUUGUCUUUACUUUGUGUCAAUUUUUAAAUGAUACCUUUAAACAAAAUUUAAAGGUAAAUGUUUCUUCCAAGAAGUAAUCCACUUACAGCUUAUGUAACUCAGUGUUACACCUCGGAAAAUUUUUUCGUUGAUGCACAAGUGAACAGACUAGUGAAGAGCACGAGUAUACAGUAUUUCAAUAAGUAAAUAAUGACAUUUGAUGACCCUAAGUAAGAUUUCAAAGACAUCCGAUGUUAGACAAGAAAGUUGUCAAGAGAAGGCAAGGCAUACAAUAGGUAACGG